Molecule: ribosomal RNA, 246 nt
Filed under: uncultured Pseudomonas sp.
Lineage: Bacteria; Pseudomonadati; Pseudomonadota; Gammaproteobacteria; Pseudomonadales; Pseudomonadaceae
Description: partial 16S ribosomal RNA
Rfam family: Bacterial small subunit ribosomal RNA
Source: RNAcentral
UAAGGAGACUGCCGGUGACAAACCGGAGGAAGGGUGGGGAUGACGUCAAGUCAUCAUCGGCCCUUACGGCCGUGGGCUACACACGUGCUACAAUGGUCGGUACAAAGGGUUGCCAAGCCGCGAGGUGGAGCUAAUCCCAAUAAAACCGAUCGUAGUCCGGAUCGCAGUCUGCAACUCGACUGCGUGAAGUCGGAAUCGCUAGUAAUCGUGAAUCAGAAUGUCACGGUGAAUACGUUCCCGGGCCUU